RNAcentral lists this transfer RNA (61 nucleotides) under Cricetulus griseus (Chinese hamster). It matches the Rfam family "tRNA", at positions 8 to 63 of the family's 71-position model. From Rfam's summary of the family: Transfer RNA (tRNA) molecules are approximately 80 nucleotides in length. Lineage: Eukaryota; Metazoa; Chordata; Mammalia; Rodentia; Cricetidae. The record is from Rfam by way of RNAcentral.
UGGCUCAGUGGUUAAGAGCACUUGCACUUGCACUUGCAGAGGACCUGGGUUCAAUUCCCAG